GUGAUGGAAACACCUGGUCCCAUUCCGAACCCAGAAGUUAAGCAUCAUGGAGCCGAAGGUAGCUUAGGUGAGAAUAGGA
Molecule: ribosomal RNA, 79 nt
Filed under: Mycoplasma bradburyae
Lineage: Bacteria; Bacillati; Mycoplasmatota; Mollicutes; Mycoplasmatales; Mycoplasmataceae
Source: RNAcentral